RNAcentral lists this ribosomal RNA (454 nucleotides) under uncultured Bacteroides sp. RNAcentral's name for it is "bacterial SSU rRNA". It matches the Rfam family "Bacterial small subunit ribosomal RNA", at positions 341 to 792 of the family's 1533-position model. Lineage: Bacteria; Pseudomonadati; Bacteroidota; Bacteroidia; Bacteroidales; Bacteroidaceae. The record is from RNAcentral.
ACGGGAGGCAGCAGUGAGGAAUAUUGGUCAAUGGGCGCGAGCCUGAACCAGCCAAGUAGCGUGAAGGAUGAAGGUCCUAUGGAUUGUAAACUUCUUUUAUACGGGAAUAAAGUGGUCCACGUGUGGGCUUUUGCAUGUACCGUAUGAAUAAGCAUCGGCUAACUCCGUGCCAGCAGCCGCGGUAAUACGGAGGAUGCGAGCGUUAUCCGGAUUUAUUGGGUUUAAAGGGAGCGCAGACGGGGGAUUAAGUCAGUUGUGAAAGUUUGCGGCUCAACCGUAAAAUUGCAGUUGAUACUGGUUCCCUUGAGUGCAGUUGAGGCAGGCGGAAUUCGUGGUGUAGCGGUGAAAUGCAUAGAUAUCACGAAGAACCCCGAUUGCGAAGGCAGCCUGCUAAGCUGUAACUGACGUUGAGGCUCGAAAGUGUGGGUAUCAAACAGGAUUAGAUACCCUGGUA